CAUUAUUGAAUUUUGAAAAGAGGUUGUAGCUGAUCAUAACAGAUAUGUGCACACCUCGUUCCAAAUAUUACACCAUGUGCACUUUUGUAGGCCAAGAAAUUGGUCUAUGUUCUUAAUACACUCCAAAAGUAUAGAAUGUCAUUGUAAAUAAGCUUUUGCUUAAAUUAAUACAACUUUCAACAACGGAUCUCUUGGCUCUCGCAUCGAUGAAGAACGCAGCGAAAUGCGAUAAGUAAUGUGAAUUGCAGAAUUCAGUGAAUCAUCGAAUCUUUGAACGCACCUUGCGCUCCUUGGUAUUCCGAGGAGCAUGCCUGUUUGAGUGUCAUUAAAUUAUCAAUCCUCUUCAAGUUGAGAGGCUUUGGACUUUGGAGUUGCUGGCUUGAAAAAAGUUUGCUUCUCUUAAAUGUAUUAGCUUGUAUCUUUUGCAGAUGAGCUUUAGUUUGAUAAAAAUAUCUACUAUUUAGCUGUGAAGCAAAUAUGAGCUUCCAAUUGUUCUUUGGACACUUUGACUUUUUGACCUCAAAUCAGGUAGGACUACCCGCUGAACUUAAGCAUAUCAAUA
Molecule: ribosomal RNA, 562 nt
Filed under: Hygrophorus sp. LM2763
Lineage: Eukaryota; Fungi; Basidiomycota; Agaricomycetes; Agaricales; Hygrophoraceae
Description: eukaryotic LSU rRNA
Rfam family: 5.8S ribosomal RNA (bases 172-325)
Source: RNAcentral